Molecule: ribosomal RNA, 491 nt
Filed under: uncultured bacterium
Lineage: Bacteria
Description: partial 16S ribosomal RNA
Rfam family: Bacterial small subunit ribosomal RNA
Source: RNAcentral
AGUGAACGCUGGCGGUAGGCCUAACACAUGCAAGUCGAACGGCAGCACAGUAAGAGCUUGCUCUUACGGGUGGCGAGUGGCGGACGGGUGAGGAAUACAUCGGAAUCUAUUUUUUCGUGGGGGAUAACGUAGGGAAACUUACGCUAAUACCGCAUACGACCUACGGGUGAAAGCAGGGGAUCUUCGGACCUUGCGCGAUUGAAUGAGCCGAUGUCGGAUUAGCUAGUUGGCGGGGUAAAGGCCCACCAAGGCGACGAUCCGUAGCUGGUCUGAGAGGAUGAUAGGCCAAACAGGAGGUGAGACACGAUCCAAACGCCUAAGGGAGGCAGCAGGGGGAAAAAUUGGGAAAUGGGGGCAAGCCUGUUCCAGCCAUACGGGGUGGGUAAAAAAGGCCUUCGGGUUGGAAAGCCCUUUUGUUGGGAAAAAAAAACAGCAGGUUAAAACCCCGCUGUUCUGACGGUACCCAAAAAAAAGGCACCGGCUAACUUCGG